AUAUGAAGAAGAAAAGAGGGAUUUUUGACGGAGAGGAGACGGAUUGGGCAAAAUGGACGGUAACACUACGGAGGCUGAGCGGUGGCUGAGCAUAGCGGAGAAGCUAUUGGCGACGCGUGAUUUGCACGGGACCCGAACCUUCGCGAUCCGAGCCCGUGAAUCGGCUCCUAUCCUCGCCGACCAAAUACUUGCGGUGACGGACACUCUCUUAACGGCACAAUCUAAUCCUCAAGAUUGGUACGGGAUCCUCCAACUCGUGCCGUUAACUCAGUCCAUGGAAGUGGUGGCGAGUCAGUAUAGGAAACUCGCUCUUCUUUUGAAUCCUGGGAGGAACAGGCUCUCUUUCGCAGAUCAGGCGUUUCGAUUCGUUUGUGAAGCUUGGAAUGUGUUGUCGAACCCUUCUAAGAAGGCCAUUUAUGAUAACGAGUUGAGGUUCCUUCAGCAUGGUCAGGUGAGUCAACCCGGUCAACAACAACAACAACAGCCACCGCUUCAGCAACAGCAACAAGAGCAGCAGCCGCAGACGCUGUUCAUGCAAUCGCAGCCACCUCCUGCGCCGAAGGAAACCCAAACGCUGUUUAUGCAAACUCCGCAGAAAGAGACGCCGACGCAAGUUACUCAACCGCUAUUCACGAGAAGAAGCCCUAGAAAUACUGAUAGAGACGGGAAUGCUGAUUUGGGAGGAGGCGGGCAGUCGGGUCUCAAUAACAAGCCGCCGGAUCAAAAUCGGUCGGCGGAGCCGAUAUGGAGGAGGCAGAUGAAUCAGAUUGGUUUAGGUGGGACAAGUCAGGUUAGACAGUCGGGAUCAGUCGAUUCCAGCCAAAUUAAUCAAAUAAGAACCGAUAACUCGAGUCAGUUUAAUCGGGCUGAGCCAGCUCGUACGAGUCAAAUUAAUCAGACCACAACUCCUCCUCCUCCUAGGGCGGAUAGUCAGACACAGUCAACUAAUGUGACUCAGCCUAGAGAAGCCACUGAGGCAGAAGGGCUGACAUUUUGGACAGCUUGUCCGUACUGUUACGUUCUCUAUGAGUAUCCAAAGUUGUAUGAGGAUUGUACAAUGAGGUGCCAGACUAAGAACUGCAGGAGGGCUUUUCAUGCAGUUGUGAUACCGUCGCCGCCAGUAAAUGGAAAGGACACGCAUUUCAGCUGCUGGGGGUUUUUCCCGUUAGGAUUUUCUAGGGGCGGUAAUUUUCCUAGUUGGUCACCUAUUUCAACCAUGUUUGCUUGCCCUAGUAACCAGAAUGCUGCAAAACAAAAUACUGCCAAAAAGUCUGCUCCAAGAGUGUAUUACGAUGAUGAUGAUGUAUAUGAAGAGAUUUCUGACUCAAUUGGGACUUAUGAUGAUGAUGAUGAUGAUUGGCAGAAUGAGAAGAGGAAGAAGGGGAAGAAUGCUAAAGGGAAAGUGUCUGUGGGGAGAAAUGUCAAGAAACCACAGAGUGAGGGAGUGAAGCAGCCGACUAAUGAGAACGCUAAUGUUGAUCACAGUGGGAAUUUGAUUUGUGUGUCCACGGUGCCUGAUGGUGUGCCAACUGCUGAAUCGAGCCGAAGGGGGGUUGUUAAUAGUGGGGGGAAGCAGAUGGGAAAGGUGGCAAAGAAUUUGGGGAAGUUGGAUUUGAAUGUGGAGUUUAGCAAUGAAAUUGAAGAACCUGCGCCGAGGAGGAAUGAGGGAAAUCAAGACGGCUAUGGGGAGGAGGAUAACAUUGAAGGGAAUGGGUUCUUUGAGGGUCUUGAUGAGUUUUUGAAUAGCUUACCUAUACUUUCGGCUGUUGGGGAUGAUAAAGUUAAGGCUACUUAGUGAAGAUAAUUUGAAAGUUCAGUACAAAAUCAUGAUAAUCUAUGGAUUGAAGAUGGAAUGUUCUGUCCACCAUGAUUCUGGCGGUGGCAGGAAUUGGUGGCUUCUAUUUGUCGUACAAUCGAAUUAGUGAGCAGGACAUGUUGUAAUGAGAAGUGCUUUGCCUGUUGUAUAACUUUUUAUUAGAAUCCUUUUCUUUACUUUGUAUGGGGUUUUGGAUUGUUGUAAUCUACUCUUAAGGGCAUUGUAUGAUGCUGGUCUGGGAAGGCGUCACAUGUACUCUGAUUGUGAACUACGCUUUACCUGUCAAAAACUAGAAGCUGCCUCAGGAUCUUUGUAGUGGUCAAAUGUUGCUGAGCUUAAGAUGCUGCGAAUAUGUCCAAAGGCAGUAGAUGGAUCACAGAGCACUUGGGAUAUGUUGGAGGGCUUUCUUUUCUGUCUACCAUUCUAAACAAUUGAAGAGUGUAAAGACUUAUUGCUGUCUACUUCAAGGGCGAAAAAGGUACAUUAUCCA
This is an RNA transcript of Hibiscus syriacus, 2306 nucleotides long. RefSeq lists it as uncharacterized. NCBI's taxonomy places the organism in Eukaryota, Viridiplantae, Streptophyta, Magnoliopsida, Malvales, Malvaceae. The transcript has 5 exons. The record is from RefSeq and is a predicted model, not a curated record.